Molecule: small RNA, 531 nt
Filed under: Pongo abelii (Sumatran orangutan)
Lineage: Eukaryota; Metazoa; Chordata; Mammalia; Primates; Hominidae
Description: processed transcript
Source: RNAcentral
AAUGUGCCCAUUUACUUUUGGCUCACAAUGCUCCAGUCAAGGUGAAAAAUGCUCAGGGAUGGAGCCCUCUGGCGGAAGCCAUCAGCUAUGGAGAUAGACAGAUGAUUACAGCUCUUUUGAGGAAGCUUAAGCAGCAAUCCAGGGAAAGUGUUGAAGAAAAACGACCUCGAUUAUUAAAAGCCCUGAAAGAGUGCCUUUACUUUCCCGAAUUCUGCCUUCUGAUGCAUGUAAAAUAUACAAACAAGGUAUCAAUAUCAGACUAUCUAGAAGGCAAACAGUGAGGAUCUUGAUGUAAUAUUAAGAAGAUUUACAGUGGUUACCUUCCUGAUCCUGGAUUUAUUAAGGAAUAAGGGACACAUAAGGAAGACCCAAUUCUUGCCUUUUUCUCCAUCUCUUUCAUAUCUUUCCUUCCCCUGUUUACUCAUCCGUGCAUCCGUUCAUCUGUUCAUUCAUUGAUCUAUCCAUUCCAGUGAAUACUUUGAGGCUAAUUUUAAUUUCCUUCUAUUCUGUUCCUUUUAUAACUAAGAUUAA